RNAcentral lists this unclassified non-coding RNA (253 nucleotides) under uncultured Alphaproteobacteria bacterium. Its description in RNAcentral is "contains 16S-23S intergenic spacer region". It matches the Rfam family "Bacterial small subunit ribosomal RNA", at positions 524 to 776 of the family's 1533-position model. Lineage: Bacteria; Pseudomonadati; Pseudomonadota; Alphaproteobacteria. The record is from RNAcentral.
UACAGAGGGUGCGAGCGUUAAUCGGAUUUACUGGGCGUAAAGCGUGCGUAGGCGGCUUUUUAAGUCGGAUGUGAAAUCCCCGAGCUUAACUUGGGAAUAGCAUUUGAAACUGCAUUGCUUGAGGUUGGAAGAGGAGAACGGAAUUCCCAGUGUAGAGGUGAAAUUCGUAGAUAUUGGGAAGAACACCAGUGGCGAAGGCGGUUCUCUGGCCUAUAACUGACGCUGAGGCGCGAAAGCGUGGGGAGCAAACAGG